GGAGGAGGGAUAGCUCAGUGCAGAGAGAGAUGAAGAGAAUGGGCUAGAACCAGAUGUUCGCCAAUCAUUUCCAUACAAUUCAUGAAAUUGCUCCCAGUAAGCUCACUCACUAGCAAGCACAAGAUGGAUGUCAGUGAUUGUGAUUCAGUUGCUCUUCAAAUUCUGAGCUAGGGAACAGGAGCAGCAUACAGGAGAGUUUUGCUAGGGAGUUCUCCAGGUGAAGAAGGAGCAACUACAGGACCCUUGGAGUGAGUUUGUUGUCUGCUAGUGUGCUUGCUUGCUUAGCCACGUGACUGUUUGAUUGAAAUGUAUAGUGUCAUCUGUUGCAAGGGAGGCUGUGUGCUGAGCAGUAAACAAGGGCGGUUUGCUAGGGAGAGAGCAUGAGAGCCAGAUACACCUAACCAACAUUUGCUAAACAUCGUCCAUUAACA
This is a long non-coding RNA of Dermochelys coriacea (leatherback sea turtle), 431 nucleotides long. RefSeq lists it as uncharacterized. The record is from RefSeq and is a predicted model, not a curated record. NCBI's taxonomy places the organism in Eukaryota, Metazoa, Chordata, Testudines, Dermochelyidae. The transcript has 3 exons.